Small nuclear RNA from Erpetoichthys calabaricus (reedfish), 190 nucleotides. Its record names the gene U2. It matches the Rfam family "U2 spliceosomal RNA". From Rfam's summary of the family: U2 is a small nuclear RNA (snRNA) component of the spliceosome (involved in pre-mRNA splicing). Complementary binding between U2 snRNA (in an area lying towards the 5' end but 3' to hairpin I) and the branchpoint sequence (BPS) of the intron results the bulging out of an unpaired adenosine, on the BPS, which initiates a nucleophilic attack at the intronic 5' splice site, thus starting the first of two transesterification reactions that mediate splicing. Lineage: Eukaryota; Metazoa; Chordata; Cladistia; Polypteriformes; Polypteridae. The record is from Ensembl.
AAUGCUUUUUGGUCUCUUGGCGGAGAUCAAGUGUAGUGUCUUUUCUUAUCAUUUUAGUAACUGAUAGGUCCUGUGUGUGAGGACCAAGAAUUAAAUUGAAUUUUUGAACCAGGAGAUGGAAAAGGGGGCUUGCUCCAUUGCUGAACUACUUCCUUUACUGCUGUAAAAACAGACAAACAAUAGACUUAGG